This 368-nucleotide ribosomal RNA is filed under the name uncultured organism. RNAcentral describes it as "bacterial SSU rRNA". It matches the Rfam family "Bacterial small subunit ribosomal RNA", at positions 526 to 896 of the family's 1533-position model. The record is from RNAcentral.
CGGAGGGUGCAAGCGUUAUCCGGAUUCACUGGGUUUAAAGGGUGCGUAGGCGGAUAGGUAAGUCCGUGGUGAAAUCCUGCAGCUUAACUGCAGAACUGCCACAGAUACUAUUUAUCUUGAAUGUCGUGGAGGUUAGCAGAAUAUGUCAUGUAGCGGUGAAAUGCUUAGAUAUGACAUAGAAUACCCAUUGCGAAGGCAGCUAACUACGCGAUAAUUGACGCUGAUGCACGAAAGCGUGGGGAUCAAACAGGAUUAGAUACCCUGGUAGUCCACGCCCUAAACGAUGAUUACUCGACAUUGGCGAUACACAGUCAGUGUCUGAGCGAAAGCAUUAAGUAAUCCACCUGGGAAGUACGAUCGCAAGAUUG